UAGGGAAUAUUGGACAAUGGGCGAAAGCCUGAUCCAGCCAUGCCGCGUGUGUGAAGAAGGUCUUCGGAUUGUAAAGCACUUUAAGUUGGGAGGAAGGGCAGUUACCUAAUACGUGAUUGUUUUGACGUUACCGACAGAAUAAGCACCGGCUAACUCUGUGCCAGCAGCCGCGGUAAUACAGAGGGUGCAAGCGUUAAUCGGAAUUACUGGGCGUAAAGCGCGCGUAGGUGGUUUGUUAAGUUGGAUGUGAAAUCCCCGGGCUCAACCUGGGAACUGCAUUCAAAACUGACUGACUAGAGUAUGGUAGAGGGUGGUGGAAUUUCCUGUGUAGCGGUGAAAUGCGUAGAUAUAGGAAGGAACACCAGUGGCGAAGGCGACCACCUGGACUAAUACUGACACUGAGGUGCGAAAGCGUGGGGAGCAAACAGGAUUAGAUACCCCCGUAGUCCCUGAGCGGGCUGGCAAGGCGCAU
This 472-nucleotide ribosomal RNA is filed under the name uncultured bacterium. RNAcentral describes it as "bacterial SSU rRNA". It matches the Rfam family "Bacterial small subunit ribosomal RNA", at positions 355 to 825 of the family's 1533-position model. The record is from RNAcentral.